CCUGUCAAAUAAUAUGGAUCAUCCCUUCAUAUUAACACUGAAUGUACUGACAAGCAUUUAUGGUACACUAAAAUAUACUUUAAUGUAAUUUUAGUUGAAAGUUGUAUAUCAAGUUUUUAAACAUAUUUGUAAUGAUGAAGUUGCAAUUUAGUACAUUUACUAUAUAAUAAAAUUUUUAUGUUUAAUAUGUAAUAACAUACUACUUAAAAUUGUAAUAUAAACAACACAUUGAAAUAAACAUACUUUCAAAACAUACUUUUAUAACCAGACAAUGAUUUAAAAACAAACAGAAGAAUUUAAAAAUCAACCCUAAAUUUAACGGGAAGUUAAUGAAGGAAUGAUAAAACAGGGGAAAUGUGAUCCCUCUUUUUAGACCCAGUCAAAAGCCACAGCAUUUUGAACAGCUUGCAAUCGUGACAAUGAAGAUUGAGGAAGACCAGAGUAAAGACAGUUACAAUAUUCCAAUCGAGAUGUACUAAUUGCAUGAAUCACAACUUCCAUAUCCUUCCUUGAAAGAAGAUGCUUUAACUUUGCAAUGGAUCUCAGAUGCAAACAAACUUGCUCUAAUAACAGCACUAAUUUGUUUAUCAAAAAAUAGAGAAGAGUUAAAAAUCAAUCCAAGGUUUUUGAUUAAUUUGCAUACAUUUUAUAUUCAAUUUGCAUUUUAUCUGAUUCUACAUUUAUUUAUUGACUUCUUUAGUCAGAUUUUCAUUCUUUUUUGUUUCUCUCCCUUCACAGAUUGAAGACAAAAUGGAAAACCUCUUACUGCGGUAACUCAAACACAAGCUAGGGGGCAACAAUAACCACAGAACAGAUGGUCAGGAUGAGACAUGUCAACACAGGGAUAUGAAGACACACUUCCACCCUUUUGUAGCAGUCCCUAAAUGAGAAAUUACACACUCUGUGAUUUGAGUGAUGAGUAACUGAAGCAGAUGGCAGAAGAAUCUGCUUUCGCCUUCACCCUCGGUUGCUCCAGCUCCACCUCAUCCCUCCAAAACUCUACUUCCAUCUCAGGAGGGUUGUUGCUGCGGCUCCGCCAUGGCCACCUAGAUCAUCUACAUCAUUCCAUUCCAUCAGCCCUUUUUCUGUGCCAUGGGCUCCUCCAUUGUCGUCACACUGCCUCAACCAUGGCUCCUCCCCCCAGUGAUGCCACUGUGAGGCACAGUCCUGGCUGUGGCCUGGAUCACCACCUGGACGUUCCUGCACAAGGCCAUCUCCUGGAUCACUCCUCCACCUACUCCACCUUGGAUUUUUCUGUUGAGCCCUCUCCUGGAUUCCUCUCUUCCACCAAAUCCUCUAUCCAUCUGCUGGCGUGAGGUCGCACCUUCCAGGAGGGGGCGUAUUGUCAUACUCACACACUUUUUGGACUGUUUUCAUUUUUUCAUCUCCAUUAGUUAGUUGUCAUGGUUGUUAAUUGAUUUGUCAUUUAGUUCAUUAUGGAAGUUUAUCCUUUGUUGCUGCUACCUGAGAAUUAUUAAAGGACUUUUGAUCUUUCA
This is a long non-coding RNA of Cyprinus carpio carpio, 1496 nucleotides long. NCBI's taxonomy places the organism in Eukaryota, Metazoa, Chordata, Actinopteri, Cypriniformes, Cyprinidae. The record is from Ensembl.